ACAGAGCAUUCUGCCCACAUCUUCAGGAGGCUCAGGGCCUCAGGAGGGCAGCAGCUGCAGCUGCAGCCUGUGGGUGGAAAUUCCAACAGCCUGGAAGGAGGUAUCAAAAACAAGGAGACUGUUUUGAAGGCCCCCUACUCUCUGACUACCCCCACCUAGCAGUAGGGAAGGCCUUGGACACACAGACCAAUCCCGGGGUAGAGGUGCAGAAUAGCUAAGUUCCCAGUGCAGGAAAAAAACCACCUGGUGACCCAGGAGAGUGGCAGGGGCUAGGCAACUUACCUACCACAGCUAGCCCAUGCUGACCUGCCCGGGAACCUUGAGGUUGGGGACAAUGGUGGCAACCUGCCCCCACAUGCUGGCUGCCUUUUAUCCUCGAGUAUUCCGAAAGCUAAACAGUUCUUCAAAUAUUUGAACACAUUGUGCUGCCUGAGAAAGGGUUAUACAGCAUAGUUUAUUUUUUAUCUACUCCUGAUAAAAUGAGUAUUAUCUUAUUUGCUACUUUAUCUGUUCCUGUCCUGGGUGGGGCUGGGAGCCUCAGAGAGGCCGCACCAAGGGUCUCUGCCUUUGGGGAGCUCACAGGCCAGCUGCCCACCCACUUCCUGCUUCUAUAGAUCAACCACCAUCCCUCCACCCUACCUGCAUACCCCAGAACCCCAAGGUCAGGCUGUCAUAAAAUGCCCUCUCCACUUCACCCACUAGGAGCAAGGCAAACUAAGGCCCCGGAAAAUGCCUGUGUCUCAACACAAACUCACAUGUUCCUAAGAGAGUUCGCUGUGCAGGGUCUAAAACAGGAGGCUCUUAGGAACAAUAGCCUGCUUCUUCCACUUGCUCUAAAUCAAACUCAUCAGCCGUGACCGCAGCCCAGCCCUGAGGGACGUCCAAUGCCUUAUCGGACAUCACUUAAUAUCUCUGUGCCCAGGUGCCCUGGGAACACAGAACAUGGCAUCCAGCCAGCACCACAUGGCUGCCCCAGCAGGAGGCAUAGGGGUAUAAGGAUCAGUGAUGGAGGCAUGCACAGAUCAGCUAUGGUAAAUCGGGGCUAUGACUCAGAGAUCUCCUCCAUACAUACCAAGUCUCAGACCAAUAACUGAUCUAUGAGAGGCCAGGACUGGGCCUAGAACCCUGGGCACCAGACCCACUCAGGCAUAGGCCUGAUAGUGAUGCUGUCCCCAGCCCUCAACCCCUCAUCAUUCCAUUGAGAAGGGCUAUGCUCUAUACAUGCAAAUAGCAGAGGGUCUGUUCCAGAGAGAGUGACCUUCAGCCUAGCCACCGUCACAUUUCCAGGGCCUAAAAUGUAACACUGAAACAUCUCAGGAGACUUUGAGUCAUUAUAUCUGCAUACAUGAUAAUAGUAUAAAGUGUCCUGAAAGUGUUGUUAGUAGAAAUGUCAUACACAAAAGGUCACUAGGAACGGGUGGACCUUGAGGACACUUGCUAAGAUAAGCCAGGAAUGAGAGGACACGCACUUUAGGAUACUUCUCUUCAGAGGCCCCUGGAGUUACCAGAUCUACCGAGACAGGAGGCAGAAUGGGAGGCCAGGGGCUCGGAACAGUUUCGAUCUAAAAAAAGAAAGUUCUGGAGAUAGGAACAGCUGCAUUCUGUGAGUGAGCUAUACCCUUCUGACGUAAGCACACAGACACAGUCAGCUGUGUUUCACCGUGGCUAAAAUAGAUUUAAGAAAGAAAACCAUGGGCUGGAGAGAUGGCUCCAUGACUAAAAGCACUUGCUGCUCUCCUAGAGGACCAGAGUUUCGUUUCCCAACACCCAUGAGCCAUGGGUGGCUCACAGCUGCCUUUGACUCUGGCUUCAGGGAAUCAGAUACCCUUGUUUGGCCUCUAUGGGUGCACCCAUGCAUGCAUGCACACAUGCACAUACAAAUUAAAAGAAAGAAAACCAAACAAAUGGCUUUGACAAUGGAAUGUGAGCAGGCCAAGCACACAGGCCAUGGGCUAUAAGUGAAGUUAUCAACAUUCAAAGGCCCCCUGGAGACAGCUCCCCACAGGCCAAUAAGUGCUCAGUGGGCUUCUUGGGCUGAACUAAAAUCCUAAGGUACCCAUGAGCAAAUAUAACACUCACAGACUAAAUUCCGGUAUAUGAGUCCCAAGUCCUGUCUAGGGGUGUGUGCUAGGGAGUUACUUGGAAAGAUUCCAAUCUAUCCCUCACAUAUGCUUCCUGGGAAGGGAAGCCUAGAGUGAGACCCUACUCACUCACUGCCCACCAACCACGCUCACUCCUGAACUCCCAGCUACCUGGCUUUAAGUUGGAUGUGGACAUGUCCCAGGAUACUGAACUUCUAGAGGGGACAGUAGAUUUAGGGCUAUCCCAGGAAAGAUUAGCACAUAAUGGUACCAACAGCAAAUGUCAGUUGUAUAGAGUUAGCAGGCAUUGGAAGACUCCAAGACUGCCAUUUAUUUCCUCAUAACAGCCCUUCCUAUGUGCUGUUCAGAGUAGAGCCUGGGCCAGGCCAUCUCCUGAAGGGACAUAUGUCAAUGCAUGCUGAAGGCUCAAUAUGUGCCAGAGGUUGGGCAUAAUUUCCCUUAUCUAAGCCUUGAGUAAAAGGAGUCCCAGGGUGAAGAGUCAUAGGUGAUGGCUUAUCUCAAGCUAUGCAUCUUCAGAAGUCUCUGAAUUGGGGGCAACAAGAUAAACACUGCAUAGGACACACACAGGGUCACAUGGACAGUAAGCUCAGUCUGGCCAUUUGGGUCCACAAUGCUCAGAAUGGGAGAGGCACAUGCUGUCCUGGGCUAUCUCACUUCCUCUAUCUGAAUGGCCACCUCCUUUUCUCUCAGAUCCCAUUGAACACCUCCUGGGAAGACAGUUGACCCUGGUUUUGGGUAUUCCAGACAUCCCAUGAUGGUGGACUCCCUCUUACACCCUCAAUGGUGGUGCUGGCCAAACUGGGACUCCACAUGCAAAAGAAGAAAGCUGGACUCUUAUACCUCACACCAUAACCUUACAUGUAAGGACUAAAACUGCCAAACCCUGAGAAGGAAGCCUAGAACAAAGGAUUCAAGAUACUGGAUUUAGCAAUGAUUUCCUUUAUAGGACACCAAAGGCUUGAGCCACUAAAGGAAAAACAGACCAUCAGACUUCAUGAAAAUGUAAACAAAUGCCACGUGGCAAAAGGUCAUAUCAACAAAAUGGGAGAUUUUCAGAUCACCUAUCUGAUAAGGGCUUAGUAUCUGAAAUAAACAGACUAACAUUCAAUCUCAAAAUAAAACAGCUGAUUUUAAACAUGGCCAAAAUUGACUAUAUAUUCAUCCUACCGACUGAUACACAGACGGUCAGUAAGCACAUGCAAAGAUGCUUGGCAUCUGAGUUUUGUUUCCUGUCCCUGUGAUAAAAUACUUUGACAAAAGCAACUUAAGUGGGGGAGGGCUGGAUAGAUGAACACACAGACAAUGCAGUGUAGAACAACCUGAGUUGUCCUUACAAAGGAUGAGAACCCAGCCAUAUGCUACAGAACAAAGGAGCCUUGAAAAUAACUGUCAGGUGAACUGAGUCAGUCACACAAAGACACACUGUGACUACACUGGAACAAGGUCCCUAGUGUCAGAUUGACAGAGGCAGAAAGCAUGAGGAGAUAGUGGGAGCUGAGGAGAGGAGUCAUCUUUUCAUUGGGUCAGGGUUUCAGUUUGGAAGACCAAAAGUUCUGGAGCUGGAUACUGGGGUGGCUUGCAGUGUGUUGAAUGUGUGUCACAACACCCAGCUGAGAACUUACAAUAGUAAGAUUAUGAAAUGCCCUCAAUCCCCAGUAAGUGCUGUGUGUUUGAGAAGAUUUAGAAUCCUUUAGGGGGUGAAGACUCACUGAAGAGAAUGAGCCACUGGGGGUGGGGCUUGAGAUUUAUAUCCUGGUCUAACAUCCUGUUUUGUCUGCAGGUCCACCAAGAUGUGAACAAGCAGCCUCAGGCUUCCACUGCCACAACCUCAAGCUGCUCCUGCAGCCACACCUUCCUUAUCAUGACAGAUUUUGUACCCUCAAACCACAAGCCACCACAAAAACUUCCUCUUCUAUGUCGCUUCUUGUCAGGCAUUUGCUCAUAGCAACUACGAAAUAGCUAGUGCAGGCCAGGACCACCUGCCUAGGGAAUGAUGGCGUCCACAGUGGGAUGGUUCCUCCUCCACCAACAAUCAAGACACCUACAGGCCAGUCUGAUCUGAGCAAUCAAUCCCUCAAAGGAGACACCCUUCUCAGGUGAUUCUAGGCUGUCAUGCUGGUAACUAAAGCUAACAAAGGCAACCAGAGUGCACCCUAUGUAUACAUAAGGCCUCAAGUAUGCUCACACAUGCAUACACACACACACCACUGGAGAGAAAAAAUCAUACAACCUUUUACACAAGAAAGUCCCUUUGAAAAAAGAUACUGAAGGACCUCCAGUUAGCCUCAUUAGCUUUACUUCAAUGAAUUAAUUUUAUUUUCUUCCUUGAAAUUCCCCAGUGUUCUCUGAUGAGCAUUUCUGGAUGUUAUGAUCAGAAGAACAAGCAGAAAACCAUGACUGCCCAUUUGGCAAGGAAGAUGUUCAGAGGUCUGCACAACAGGGGUGGCAUCACCACGAGUCUGAUUAGGGCAGUGGUGCAAGUGUCACCAUCUGUCCCUGGGUUCAGAAGAAUGGCAGACAUUAUUAUGUGACCUUUCUCUAGUUUAUCUGUCCAUUAUGGUUUGCCAAACUACCAGCUUAAAAAUGUUUUUGAUUAUCUGUAGCUAAAAGUCUAAUUUUUAGAAAUAAGAUUACCCAAGACUAAAAUUA
Molecule: long non-coding RNA, 4751 nt
Organism: Mesocricetus auratus (golden hamster)
Lineage: Eukaryota; Metazoa; Chordata; Mammalia; Rodentia; Cricetidae
Exons: 3
Source: RefSeq, a predicted model, not a curated record